UGAGAGAAGGAAGAAAAUGAUCUUGUGCACAACCUUCUAGCUCUAGAUUCCAUUGUUGGAGAGAUGACAGAAGAUGGAAUGAAAAAUGAUUAUAUCAAGUUAUACUGAUAGUGGAACGAUAUUAGUUUUUUUUUUUCCUUUUGAAAAGAAAAUCUUAGUGGGAGGGCUGUGAGUUGAUGUAUCUACCUUAAUAAAGUGAUAUGUGGUUGCUUCUAUGGAGUGGCUCAUCAGUGGAUGAAGAAUUCAGCACCACAUCUCAGGCAAAUGAUGAAAAUUCACAUGCGGAGGACAAUGAAUUCAUGUAAACAUGGUGAUAAAUGGUGUUGUGAGAAAAACAAGAUGGAACUGAGAUUAAGGUGAGUUUAAAAUGUUACUGUUGUUUAUUGAAAGUUGUUUUGUUUUAGAAUAUGAACAAGGAAUUGUCAGAAGCAGUGAUCAGCACAGGAAGUAACAGUUUUCCUUUCUCUUUUUUCUCUGAAGAACUUUGUUAUUUAGAGAGGGCAUAGAAAAGGUGAAAAAGUGAUGGUUAGUGGAGAGAGAGAGAGAGAGAGAGGUGAAUGGUGUGUCUUUCUGCCUAGGAAAGACAACAAUUUAGGUCAAGCAGUGUGCAGAGAACAAAGCAUUAGAAAAAAUGAACCAUGGUCGUGUAUUUAAAAGUGAAUGGAAAGGGCAAUUUCAUAGGCUUUUUUUCCAACCAACCUUUCACUC
Molecule: long non-coding RNA, 708 nt
Organism: Vigna angularis (adzuki bean)
Lineage: Eukaryota; Viridiplantae; Streptophyta; Magnoliopsida; Fabales; Fabaceae
Exons: 3
Source: RefSeq, a predicted model, not a curated record